CCCUUAGAUGUUCUGGGCUGCACGCGUGCUACAAUGGCGUUUCCAGCAAGUCUGCGAACCCGAGAGGGCCAGCGGAUCUUCGAAUUGGCGUCGUGAUCGGGACAGUCGAUUGCAAUUAUUUGACUCAAACGAGGAAUUCCUUGUAAUCGCGAUUCAUCAUAUCGCGCUGAAUACGUCCCUGCCCUUUGUACACACCGCCCGUCGCUCCUACCGAUUGAGCGAUCCGGUAAAUGUUUUGGAUUGGUGCCGGGGUGGCUAGCUGCCGGUCGCUACGAAAUUUUGUGAACCUUAUCGCUUAGAGGAAGGAAAAGUCGUAACA
RNAcentral lists this ribosomal RNA (319 nucleotides) under uncultured eukaryote. RNAcentral's name for it is "partial 18S ribosomal RNA". It matches the Rfam family "Eukaryotic small subunit ribosomal RNA", at positions 1470 to 1796 of the family's 1831-position model. The record is from RNAcentral.